AAAGGCCAGUGUCACUGCUUAUCAAGUUUUUUUUUUUUUUAAACCAUGCUCUGUGCAAUAGAUGAAUAGGGUAAAAUUUAUGUAACUAUUACAUAAUUGG
Ceratotherium simum simum (southern white rhinoceros) is the source of this 100-nucleotide non-coding RNA. The record is from RefSeq and is a predicted model, not a curated record. Lineage: Eukaryota; Metazoa; Chordata; Mammalia; Perissodactyla; Rhinocerotidae.